Streptomyces hygroscopicus is the source of this 75-nucleotide non-coding RNA. The record is from Rfam. NCBI's taxonomy places the organism in Bacteria, Bacillati, Actinomycetota, Actinomycetes, Kitasatosporales, Streptomycetaceae.
CUUCAACGACCCGAGCAGCAGCGGCCGAUCGGCGGGGCGGUCCUGGCCGUACGUGGCGAUCAGGGCCUCGGCCUC